Molecule: long non-coding RNA, 349 nt
Organism: Pygocentrus nattereri (red-bellied piranha)
Lineage: Eukaryota; Metazoa; Chordata; Actinopteri; Characiformes; Serrasalmidae
Exons: 4
Source: RefSeq, a predicted model, not a curated record
UUUUAUUUUACAGGCUAAUGUGUUUACUGAUGUACAGUUUCUAAUGUCUUUGUCUCUGUUCUUCUGCUACAGGGGGGAAAAACAGAGAAACCUUAAUAAAGGACUUCAAGGACUUGUGUCAAUUGUGUGGGUGUAAACAGGCAUCAGUGGACUCACCAGCAGAGAAGCAUGAACUAGAGGCUCUACGGUCUACAUAAGCUGCUUCUGCUCCACGGGAAUCAACAUCUUAGGAGGUAUAGAGGAAUUAUUGCUUCUUGCAUGUAGACCACCUGCAUGAGCACAUGUUACAUUUGGAGCCACCGAUCGACACAGAUGGAUUAUUGGUUGUGAUUCAUAUCUGGAACAGUUC